GUGGGGAAUAUUGCACAAUGGGCGGAAGCCUGAUGCAGCAACGCCGCGUGCGGGAUGACGGCCUUCGGGUUGUAAACCGCUUUCAGCAGGGACGAAGUGCAAGUGACGGUACCUGCAGAAGAAGCACCGGCUAACUACGUGCCAGCAGCCGCGGUGAUACGUAGGGUGCGAGCGUUGUCCGGAUUUAUUGGGCGUAAAGAGCUUGUAGGCGGUUGGUUGCGUCGAAAGUGCAAACUCAGGGCUUAACUCUGAGCCUGCUUUCGAUACGGGCUGACUGGAGGAAGGUAGGGGAGAAUGGAAUUCCCGGUGGAGCGGUGGAAUGCGCAGAUAUCGGGAGGAACACCAGUGGCGAAGGCGGUUCUCUGGACCUUUCCUGACGCUGAGAAGCGAAAGCGUGGGGAGCAAACAGGCUUAGAAACCCUGGUAGUCC
Molecule: ribosomal RNA, 430 nt
Filed under: uncultured bacterium
Lineage: Bacteria
Description: partial 16S ribosomal RNA
Rfam family: Bacterial small subunit ribosomal RNA
Source: RNAcentral